Molecule: long non-coding RNA, 147 nt
Organism: Gopherus evgoodei (Goodes thornscrub tortoise)
Lineage: Eukaryota; Metazoa; Chordata; Testudines; Testudinidae
Exons: 3
Source: RefSeq, a predicted model, not a curated record
GUGUGGAGAGAGAAGGCAGUAUGGGCAUUGAUACAAGCUACAGUGGCCCAGCAGGAGGCUACCUGUGUCCAGGCAGCCGCCCAACAGGUGGCAGUAUGGCUGCAGAAAGAGACUAAUUGCCUGCUGAUGGACCAGGCUGCUCAAGAC